ACAACGGAGAGUUUGAUCCUGGCUCAGGAUGAACGCUGGCGGCGUGCUUAACACAUGCAAGUCGAACGAGCCUUCGGGCUAGUGGCGGACGGGUGAGUAACGCGUGGGAAUCUGCCCUCAGGAGGGGGAUAACGGCCGGAAACGGCCGCUAAUACCCCAUAUGCCGAGAGGUGAAACGAAUUUCGCCUGAGGAUGAGCCCGCGUCUGAUUAGCUAGUUGGUGAGGUAAUGGCUCACCAAGGCAUCGAUCAGUAGCUGGUCUGAGAGGAUGAUCAGCCACACUGGGACUGAGACACGGCCCAGACUCCUACGGGAGGCAGCAGUGGGGAAUUUUCCGCAAUGGGCGCAAGCCUGACGGAGCAACGCCGCGUGAGGGACGAAGGCCUCUGGGCUGUAAACCUCUUUUCUCAAGGAAGAAGACAUGACGGUACUUGAGGAAUAAGCCACGGCUAAUUCCGUGCCAGCAGCCGCGGUAAUACGGGAGUGGCAAGCGUUAUCCGGAAUUAUUGGGCGUAAAGCGUCCGCAGGCGGCCUUGAAAGUCUGUUGUUAAAGCGUGGAGCUCAACUCCAUUUCAGCAAUGGAAACUACAAGGCUAGAGUGUGGUAGGGGCAGAGGGAAUUCCCGGUGUAGCGGUGAAAUGCGUAGAUAUCGGGAAGAACACCAGUGGCGAAGGCGCUCUGCUGGGCCAUAACUGACGCUCAUGGACGAAAGCCAGGGGAGCGAAAGGGAUUAGAUACCCCUGUAGUCCUGGCCGUAAACGAUGAACACUAGGUGUCGGGAGAAUUAACCCUCUCGGUGUCGUAGCCAACGCGUUAAGUGUUCCGCCUGGGGAGUACGCACGCAAGUGUGAAACUCAAAGGAAUUGACGGGGGCCCGCACAAGCGGUGGAGUAUGUGGUUUAAUUCGAUGCAACGCGAAGAACCUUACCAGGGUUUGACAUCCUGCGAAUCCCUUGGAAACUUGGGAGUGCCUUCGGGAACGCAGUGACAGGUGGUGCAUGGCUGUCGUCAGCUCGUGUCGUGAGAUGUUGGGUUAAGUCCCGCAACGAGCGCAACCCACGUCUUUAGUUGCCAGCAUUCAGUUGGGCACUCUAGAGAGACCGCCGGUGAUAAACCGGAGGAAGGUGUGGAUGACGUCAAGUCAUCAUGCCCCUUACAUCCUGGGCUACACACGUACUACAAUGCUACGGACAAAGGGCAGCAAACUCGCGAGAGCUAGCAAAUCCCAUAAACCGUGGCUCAGUUCAGAUCGUAGGCUGCAACUCGCCUACGUGAAGGAGGAAUCGCUAGUAAUCGCAGGUCAGCAUACUGCGGUGAAUACGUUCCCGGGCCUUGUACACACCGCCCGUCACACCAUGGAAGUUGGCCAUGCCCGAAGUCGUUACUCCAACCCGCAAGGGAGGAGGACGCCGAAGGUGGGGCUGAUGACUGGGGUGAAGUCGUAACAAGGUAGCCGUACCGGAAGGUGCGGCUGGAUCACCUCCUAA
RNAcentral lists this ribosomal RNA (1486 nucleotides) under Synechococcus sp. CBW1107. Its description in RNAcentral is "bacterial SSU rRNA". It matches the Rfam family "Bacterial small subunit ribosomal RNA". The record is from RNAcentral. Lineage: Bacteria; Bacillati; Cyanobacteriota; Cyanophyceae; Synechococcales; Synechococcaceae.